This is a long non-coding RNA of Mus musculus (house mouse), 792 nucleotides long. RefSeq annotates it as predicted gene, 40545. The transcript is spliced from 2 exons. The record is from RefSeq and is a predicted model, not a curated record. Lineage: Eukaryota; Metazoa; Chordata; Mammalia; Rodentia; Muridae.
GGGAGCCCAGGGCAAAGGCCCCUUUAACCCCUGGAGGGAGGAAGGGAGCUUAGUCUGUGGUUCCCCAGGAAAGUUGAGUUUCCGCUACUCGGGGACUACUGGCUCCCAGACUGCAACCAAGUCUGGAAACACAAAAGUGAGGGUAGUCUCUAAGGCCACAGUGGGAGGACUGAAAGGAACGGAGGAAGAGACUUCUUGAACAGAUGUGAGUCCUAACACUGCUUACUGUAGUUUUCUCCAAUAAUAAAUCCGGCUCUCUAGAACCAGCCCUGCGCUGUUCCAGCAAAAUCUGCCUAGGAAAGACAGCGCUCCAGUGUGCGGAGCUGGCUCUGAACUGCUACACUCCCCAGGGCUUCGGCAGUAGAAGCCGGUGAUUGGAAGUUUGCAAGCUCAGAUUUCCUUGCCUCAACCUACUUCCAACCUGCAGUACUUUGAACUACAGCAAAAGCGAAUUUUCCCCCAUCGAUGGAUACCCGCUAGAGAGAUCUGUUGAAGGACCGGGGAAGAAAAGUCCUUCCUGGUCUUGCAUCCCCUAAGAGAGUUUUGAUGAGGCUCUAAUGAAAGGAAAGCACCCCUUUUGUCGCAGUAAAUACCAGGGAGCCUCCGAACCCACCAAGCCACUGGCCUUCCUGUCCUGCUUGCAACUUCUCCAGCGGCAGGCUCAAUCUGUUAGGCACAAGUUUUUGGGGGGAUUUCGUGGCCAGUCUUCCCUAUCUGGGUUCCAACGUGUCUCAGCAUAAGUUGUUGAAGCAAAUUAAAGAAAGUGGAACUUUAAAAAGGCUUUUUAAAAAA